RNAcentral lists this ribosomal RNA (474 nucleotides) under uncultured bacterium. RNAcentral describes it as "SSU rRNA". It matches the Rfam family "Bacterial small subunit ribosomal RNA", at positions 26 to 511 of the family's 1533-position model. The record is from RNAcentral.
AGGACGAACGCUGGCGGCGUGCCUAACACAUGCAAGUCGAACGCGCUCCAUUCGGUAGCAAUACUGAUGAAGAGUGAGUGGCGAACGGGUGAGUAACACAUGAGCAACCUGCCCCGAAGACUGGGACAACACCGGGAAACCGGUGCUAAUACCGGAUAUCCCUAUCGGACCGCAUGAUCUGAUAAGGAAAUGGAUUCCGCUUCGGGAGGGGCUCGUGGCCUAUCAGCUAGUUGGUGAGGUAACGGCUCACCAAGGCAUCGACGGGUAGCUGGUCUGAGAGGACGAUCAGCCACACUGGGACUGAGACACGGCCCAGACUCCUACGGGAGGCAGCAGUGGGGAAUCUUGCGCAAUGGGCGAAAGCCUGACGCAGCAACGCCGCGUGGAGGACGAAGGCUUUCUGAGUUGUAAACUCCUUUCAGCAGGGACGAUAGUGACGGUACCUGCAGAAGAAGCACGGCAACUACGUGCCAG